RNAcentral lists this non-coding RNA (932 nucleotides) under Alnicola citrinella. Its description in RNAcentral is "partial 28S ribosomal RNA". It matches the Rfam family "Eukaryotic large subunit ribosomal RNA", at positions 44 to 961 of the family's 3401-position model. The record is from RNAcentral. Lineage: Eukaryota; Fungi; Basidiomycota; Agaricomycetes; Agaricales; Hymenogastraceae.
CAAUAAGCGGAGGAAAAGAAACUAACAAGGAUUCCCCUAGUAACUGCGAGUGAAGCGGGAAAAGCUCAAAUUUAAAAUCUGGCGGUCUCCGGCCGUCCGAGUUGUAAUCUAGAGAAGUGUUAUCCGCGCUGGACCGUGUACAAGUCUCCUGGAAUGGAGCGUCAUAGAGGGUGAGAAUCCCGUCUUUGACACGGACUGCCAGGGCUUUGUGAUGCGCUCUCAAAGAGUCGAGUUGUUUGGGAAUGCAGCUCAAAAUGGGUGGUAAAUUCCAUCUAAAGCUAAAUAUUGGCGAGAGACCGAUAGCGAACAAGUACCGUGAGGGAAAGAUGAAAAGAACUUUGGAAAGAGAGUUAAACAGUACGUGAAAUUGCUGAAAGGGAAACGCUUGAAGUCAGUCGCGUUGGCCGGGGAUCAACCUUGCUUUUGCUGGGUGUACUUUCCGGUCGACGGGUCAGCAUCAAUUUUGACCGUUGGAUAAAGUUCAGGGGAAUGUGGCAUCUUCGGAUGUGUUAUAGCCCUUGGUCGCAUACAACGAUUGGGAUUGAGGAACUCAGCACGCCGCAAGGCCGGGUACUUGUACCACGUUCGUGCUUAGGAUGCUGGCAUAAUGGCUUUAAUCGACCCGUCUUGAAACACGGACCAAGGAGUCUAACAUGCCUGCGAGUGUUUGGGUGGAAAACCCGGGCGCGUAAUGAAAGUGAAAGUUGAGAUCCCUGUCGCGGGGAGCAUCGACGCCCGGACCAGACCUUUUGUGACGGAUCCGCGGUAGAGCAUGUAUGUUGGGACCCGAAAGAUGGUGAACUAUGCCUGAAUAGGGUGAAGCCAGAGGAAACUCUGGUGGAGGCUCGUAGCGAUUCUGACGUGCAAAUCGAUCGUCAAAUUUGGGUAUAGGGGCGAAAGACUAAUCGAACCAUCUAGUAGCUGGUUCCUGC